CGUUAGCGGCGGACGGGUGAGUAACACGUGGGUAACCUACCUAUAAGACUGGGAUAACUUCGGGAAACCGGAGCUAAUACCGGAUAAUAUUUCGAACCGCAUGGUUCGAUAGUGAAAGAUGGUUUUGCUAUCACUUAUAGAUGGACCUGCGCCGUAUUAGCUAGUUGGUAAGGUAACGACUUACCAAGGCGACGAUACGUAGCCGACCUGAGAGGGUGAUCGGCCACACUGGAACUGAGACACGGUCCAGACUCCUACGGGAGGCAGCAGCC
Molecule: ribosomal RNA, 272 nt
Filed under: uncultured Staphylococcus sp.
Lineage: Bacteria; Bacillati; Bacillota; Bacilli; Caryophanales; Staphylococcaceae
Description: partial 16S ribosomal RNA
Rfam family: Bacterial small subunit ribosomal RNA
Source: RNAcentral